CCUUAUCACCAGAAGAUCAAUUUCAAAAUCGUACAUGGUUCUUGCCUUUUACCAGAACCAUCCGGGAAUUGUCUUCACUACUGGUGUUUUCACUAUUUUUUGGAACCUUUUUCUUUAUAUUAAGAUUUAUUCUAGUAUAUUGAUAUUUUACCUAUCUACUUUUU
Small nuclear RNA from Debaryomyces hansenii CBS767, 164 nucleotides. NCBI's taxonomy places the organism in Eukaryota, Fungi, Ascomycota, Pichiomycetes, Serinales, Debaryomycetaceae. The record is from RefSeq and is a predicted model, not a curated record.